This 465-nucleotide ribosomal RNA is filed under the name uncultured Comamonadaceae bacterium. RNAcentral describes it as "bacterial SSU rRNA". It matches the Rfam family "Bacterial small subunit ribosomal RNA", at positions 338 to 795 of the family's 1533-position model. Lineage: Bacteria; Pseudomonadati; Pseudomonadota; Betaproteobacteria; Burkholderiales; Comamonadaceae. The record is from RNAcentral.
CCUACGGGGGGCAGCAGUGGGGAAUUUUGGACAAUGGGCGAAAGCCUGAUCCAGCCAUUCCGCGUGCAGGAUGAAGGCCUUCGGGUUGUAAACUGCUUUUGUACGGAACGAAACGGUCCUUUCUAAUACAAGGGGCUAAUGACGGUACCGUAAGAAUAAGCACCGGCUAACUACGUGCCAGCAGCCGCGGUAAUACGUAGGGUGCAAGCGUUAAUCGGAAUUACUGGGCGUAAAGCGUGCGCAGGCGGUUAUGUAAGACAGAUGUGAAAUCCCCGGGCUCAACCUGGGAACUGCAUUUGUGACUGUAUAGCUAGAGUACGGCAGAGGGGGAUGGAAUUCCGCGUGUAGCAGUGAAAUGCGUAGAUAUGCGGAGGAACACCGAUGGCGAAGGCAAUCCCCUGGGCCUGUACUGACGCUCAUGCACGAAAGCGUGGGGAGCAAACAGGAUUAGAUACCCCUGUAGUC